UCCAUUGAGCCUAUCCACGUCAGAUUAAAAAAUCAACCAAUGAACAAUUUGGUUUUUGCCACGUCACACCGUCUUGGGCAGUGUUUGGGCUGGUUUUUUUUUGAUCCGUGAACUGAACUAUUUGGCCCAAAAGUCCAGUCCAAGAGAAACCCUAGAACCUGAGACUGGGUCGAUGAUUUCCUUCCACAUCUCCACUUUUGAGCGGAUCCUCUAUCUCCUAGAUCCAUCGUUUCCUCUUCUUCAAUAGAUCAUCGAUCUCCUAGCUAUUCACGAGGAGAAAAGGUUUCUACAAGCAUACAACAAAGAAAGGUAUCUCUAAGUCAAAGCCUUCUUUCCGGAAAGCCCCUCCGAAACACGCAGCCACCCAAGUUUCUGAUGCUAUGCAGCAGGAGAUGUUGAUUUCGCAUGGCUUCUUCGAUGUCAACGGUACCGUUUACUUGAGAUCGUUCUCUCGACUGCACAACUUCGUACACUUCUUCCUCAAAUUCGCUUUUAAUUGUUUUCACUGAGUCAAUGGCGGGUCGUGGUAAAACUCUCGGAUCCCGCGUUGCCAAGAAGGCGACGUCUCGGAGCAGCAAAGCCGGUCUCCAAUUUCCCGUCGGUCGUAUCGCCCGGUACUUGAAAAACUGCAAGUACGCGUUCGCCGGAGCUCCGGUUUACCUCGCCGCCGUUCUCGAGUACCUUGCUGCGGAGAUUCUGUAUAUAUACACACUUGCCGCGGGAAUCGCUUCUCACCGGAGAGAUACGUAUCGCCGGAACCACCCCGUCGCUUGAUUCUCGAUUCGGCGGAGAGAUACCCUAAUUUCUCUUUUAUUGUUGAACUCAAUCGAAGAUAAGGCAAUGGUGAAAAGCGAAGUGAAGACCGAGAAGCUUGAUGACAUCACAAUCAAAGACCAUGAGCACCGUCGUCGCGUGGUUAGCUCCGCCGAGGCCUUAGAUAGAAAGUUCAAGAGAACCGUCCUCUGCGUGGCGAAACCGUCUUACCUUCUGAGUCUGCUUGAGCGAAGUAGUACCCGAUGCAACUACCUCAAACGGUUGCCGAAGAUCCUUAGUGAGCUGCUUCGCCAGAGAAACUGGAGAGAAGCUAGCGGUGUACUUAGCGUCUUGAUGCAAGGGACUAUGGGAGAUGGGUCUCCUUCCAUGAACCGCCUCAAAUACGAGGUUCUGUCUUUUUCUUUUUCUUUUCCGAAAUUGUGUCUGUGUAGGUUCAGUUUAGUUAAACCGUGAUUUAGUAAAGCGGUUUUGGGUUUUUGUUGAAUUUUUGAAGCUAGCGGUGUACUUAGCGUCUUGAUGCAAGGGACUAUGGGAGAUGGGUCUCCUUCCAUGAACCGCCUCAAAUACGAGGUUCUUGAAUUGGCUGGAAACGCGGCGAGGGACAACAAGAAGACGAGAUGCCACGUCAUAUCCAGUUGGCUGUGAGGAACGACGAGGAGCUGAGCAAGUUGCUUGGGGAUGUGACGAUUGCUAACGGAUGUGUGAUGCCCAACAUUCACAACCUUCUUCUUCCCAAGAAGGCUGGUGGUGGUGCUUCCCCGCGUUCCGGUGACGACAAGUAGAUUUAGUUAUGUGUUUGUGGGGUUUUGACGAGGAGGUUUUAGGUGAAUCUCUGUGUACGUUUUAGAGUCUUUUGUAAUCCAGUAACAAUAAUAGUGGAGAGAGUGUCAACAAUUCGAAGAACAAGAGUGGAAACAUGAAAUCAUAGAUUUUUUUAUCUAUUUAUUUUGUCAUUUCUGGUCUGAAUAAUGAAAGUUGAUAUUAUCUGUUCUUUGCUUCGGUUUGCGAUGAAUCCGUAAAAUUCGAAGAGAAUGGUAUAUACUAUGCUCUGUUUGCUGCUUAAAAAUUUGACUUCGGAAUUUUUUUUUUCUUUUUUUUUUGUAAAAUGCUUUACCUCUGAAUUUUUUUCACAGCACGUUUCUACGACCUAACCUCCUUUUUCAAUUUUAAAAAUAAUCUGUUCAAAAGCACUUUCAUGAGAAAUAUUAUUAGUACAAAUUUAUUUAUAACUUUUAACAGAAUAAAUAUCUAUACUAAUACUAAAAAAGAUAUAUGAGUUCCAUUAAACCUAUCCACGUAAGCAUAAAAAACAACCAAUAAAAAACCUUCUUAAAAACCUUCUUUUUUUGUAAAGCACUUUCAUGAGAAAUAUUAUUAGUACAAAUAUUAUUUAUAACUUUUAACAGAAUAAAUAUCUAUACUAAUACUAAAAAAAGAUAUAUGAGUUCCAUUAAACCUAUCCACGUAAGCAUAAAAAACAACCAAUAAAAAACCUUCUUUUUGACACGUAACAUUAGGUUUCUUCUUCUUUUCAUGUUUGCGACCUUCCCCAAUUUUUUUCCAGAAACUUGAAGCGUCUUUCCAAUCUCCUCUUCGCAUCUCCCUUCACUACUCCUAUUUAAAACAGUUUGUCCAAUCUUUCAUGCGAUCAGAAUCGCGUUCCUCUAUAGGAAAAGAAGAUAAAGUCAUGGCCAUGAAAUUUGUUAGAUCCACCGGAAAUCUUGAAUUCUACGGUUCCAAAAGCAAAGAGAUUUAUCAGAGAUAAGAUCCGAAGGAAUGUUAGUUUAGAAGCGUAACCCGUGUUUCGAUCCUGUCGGAGCUCCACCGCGACCACCGAGGACCAUAGUCAAAAGCGUAACCCGUGUUUCGAUCCUGUCGGAGCUCCACCGCGACCACCGAGGACCAUAGUCAAAAGCGUAACCCGUGUUUCGAUCCUGUCGGAGCUCCACCGCGACCACCGAGGACCAUAGUCAAAAUUUCAUUCGCUGCAGAAGGGUAAGUGACAAUCACUUCUAUGGCACCAUCUCAGAAUGUACUGCCAAGUGGAUUCGGCUUAAAAAUCUAUAAGGACUUGAAGUUCUCAACCUUCCACCUGAUAUCCAAGAGAUCCUACAACACUUGAGAAUGAGAGUACUGCAAGAACCAUUCAGUGGCUCUAAAAUCAUACAUGGGGAAACUAUCCGAGCAUAAGUUUGGGGCAUGUGACUGGUACAGUGUUGCGUCCUCCAGGAUAUGCACAUUCUUGGUGUUCAUUCUCUUCUUAUUAUUUUGAUAGAAGGGAACUGACUGCUUUUCCUUUAUUAGUGUCGGUGGCUGAAAAUCCUUCUAGCUACGGUUGUGAAGUUGAUCAGCCUUUUAGAUAAGAUUGUGACAGGUGCUCAGAUGGGAGUUAUCAGUCUCAUAAUGAGAGGUGAGCAUAUAUUUCUCAUGAUUGUAUUGCAAAACCCUCCUGCAGGGUCCUAUUCUUUGAGGGAAAAUAUAUAUGGUCCCUUGAUCUCCGGUUGGCUUCUCUAACUGCAAUCAGGAAUUGGUCAGUUCACUUACAGAAUGUGUUCUUUACAUUAAAAGAAAAAGAUUCUGCCGGGGAGAUCCAGUUGAGAUGGAUCACCAUAAUCUGCAAUGCUCCCCAUCACUGAUUAAAAUUUUCCAGAGAUCGACUGCCUGAUGGAAUACUACAUAGAAGGAUAGGCAAAGCUAAAGAUGAAGAUUGCAAAGGGUGAUGAAUGUGAUUAGGAUAAAAUGUGAUAAAGAAUAAGAUUAGUGGAGUGCUUGAGAGAUAAGUGUAAU
This is an RNA transcript of Brassica napus (rape), 3561 nucleotides long. RefSeq lists it as uncharacterized. NCBI's taxonomy places the organism in Eukaryota, Viridiplantae, Streptophyta, Magnoliopsida, Brassicales, Brassicaceae. The record is from RefSeq and is a predicted model, not a curated record. The transcript is spliced from 7 exons.